CAAAUCACAGUUCUGUGAACUAGACAACAUAAUCAUAUUUCCACAUCAGCAUCAUUAAAGAAAUGCUAACAAAUCCAUACUCAAUGCAAAACACUAAACAAGCCUUAAAGAAAACUCUAAGGCAAUAAAAAAUAUAAUUGUUGCCUCCAUGAGCUGAUGGUGACGUGGAGGUAAGUUAUGACUACACAAAGUAAUAGCACUUAUUAAACAAUACAUAUUGCAUUGCUAUCAAAUAAUAAACACCAUAGAAGUGCAAAAAAGGAAGUGAGCAUGUCUUUCACCCAGGAAUGUGAGGCUGAAGGAAUUGGGUUUUGGUAGAGUUUCAGCCUUGGCCCAGCAAGAGACCCAACAUAGGCAGUGAAUAUAGACAACACAGGGCAGGCUCAAACAGGGUCUUAAGAUUGAGAUGAGGCUAGAACAUAAUUGGGGUCAUCCUGCAAAAUGAAGUAUGCUAGGAAGAGGCAUUUGAGUUUUAGACGAGGAGUAUAUGCCUUAAAUUUUGUUAAGUGGAAGCUUAACAUAAUUCAAGCAGCUUUUAAAAAUAUUAAGCAGUAUGCCUGGGAUAACAGGGAACAGCAGGACCUUAGGGGCCCAGAGCUGAAUCUGAGUCUGACUCUGGUACUUUCCUGGCUGGGCAGGCUCAGACCAUUUACUUAACCUCCAAGUUUUCAUUUAAUCAGCUGUUAACAUAAGGCUACGAAUACUGCAUUCUUGGGUUGCUAUGAGAAGACUUUUGAUAUUUAUGAGCACUUACUAUCUGCUUGUACUUCACUAAGAGUAGUAUAUAUCUAUUGUUUCAUUUAACCCUUUAUCUAUGUUUUUAGAAACUACUUAAAAUAUAUAUGACAUAAAAUUAGCCAUUUUAACCACUUUUAAGGGGAUAGUUGAUGACUGUUAACUACAUUCACAUUAUUUUACUGCCAACCAUCACCAGAGCUUUUUCUAUCUUGGAAAACUGAAGCUCUGUUGUCCAUUACACAAUUACUCCCCUUCUCCCUACUCUCCAACCCCUGACAACUGCCAUUUGACUUUCUAUGUCUAUGGCCAAAUAGGUACUUUAUUUAAGUACAGUCAUCCUACCAUGACUGUAUUAGUUCCUUGCCAUGUCUUCAAGGUUCAGUCAUGUUUUAGCAUGUGCUGGAAUUUCCUUCUAGUUUAAAGUGGGAUAAUCUGUUGAAUGUCUAACAUCAGUGUUUGUUCUAUCAUGAGAAAAUUGGACCUCUUUAAAGUUUAACUUGCCUAAAACAACACAAUUUGAAAGAGAAAAAUCUAGUCUUUGGGCCAAAGUAAUCUUACCCACAGUCCAUCCUCAUUUCCCCUGUGCAUCCUGCCGUACGGAGGUUGAGGGCUUAUUGCUGCACCUGGCCCAGGGCAGCUAUGUCAGUUGUUAUCGUCUCAGCCUGUAUUCCUCCAAAUCGGCCAGUCUCUUGCAUCAGAGUAGGAGAUUUUCUCUCCCCGCGAGCACAUGCCAGCUGACUCAUGAGGAAGGUGCUGCUACGUGGUUCUCUCCUGGCUGGCUUGCUCACUGCUGGCACAUGGGUGAAUACUGCUUCCUGCUUCCAGUUUUUGUUUUUAAACUAAUUGGAGUUCAUGAUCUAUAACUUGUAAAAGAAAGAAAUCUAAUUUGCUGAUUAGAUUAAAAUGUCCUUAUGGUAAUGAAAAAGAAAAAACUAGAAGUAUUUUUAAAUAUUUUAAAAUUGAGUAAAAUUAAUAAAUAAAACAAUACAUAUUUAAAGGAUAUAA
Cavia porcellus (domestic guinea pig) is the source of this 1743-nucleotide long non-coding RNA. RefSeq lists it as uncharacterized. The transcript has 2 exons. Lineage: Eukaryota; Metazoa; Chordata; Mammalia; Rodentia; Caviidae. The record is from RefSeq and is a predicted model, not a curated record.